RNAcentral lists this long non-coding RNA (752 nucleotides) under Rattus norvegicus (Norway rat). Its description in RNAcentral is "long non-coding RNA NONRATT005923". The record is from RNAcentral. Lineage: Eukaryota; Metazoa; Chordata; Mammalia; Rodentia; Muridae.
AGACAGCCCAAGGAUGCUUUUGAAUUUCUCAUUUUCCUGGCUCCACUUUCUGAGGGCUGUGAUCACAGCUAAAUUUCUAGGGUUCUGUAUGAUUUCACCUUGCCUGUCACAUCUGUCAUACUUCACUUACCAGGAGGAAGUCACUGAAUCCAAGCCACAUAAAGGAGGGCAUCACUUACGGGUACAAGUACACCAGGAAGUGGGCUCGUCGUUGGGAGUUAACUGUCACAAAACUGAUCUGGCAAGCACUGAGCUGAGCCUUUUACCUGCAGGACUUCACUUAACCCUCAUGCUGACCUAUGGCAGUGGUAUCAACACUACUUGAAAACAUGGGGACAAGCGCCAAGUGGCUAAACUGCUUGCUCACACCCAUGGACUAUGAUUCAGCGGGUCUCAACCUGUGAGUCACAUGUCAGAUAUUCUACAUAUCAAGUGUUUCAUUAUGAUUAAUAACAGUAGCAAAAUUACAGUUAUGAAGUAGCAACAAAUUGAUCUUGUGACUGGGUGGAGGGUCACCACAACAUGAAUGGUAUUAAGGGGUGGCAGUGUUAAGAAGACAGAGUCAGGCUGGAGAGAUGGCUCAGUGGUUAGGGGCACUGACUGCUCUUCCAGAGGUCUUGAGUUCAAAUCCCAGCAACCACAUGGUGGCUCACAACCAUCUGUAACGGGAUCCAAUGCCUUCUUUUGGUGUGUCCAAAGACAGCUACAGUGUAUUUAUACAUACAUAAAAUAAAUUAAAAAAAAAAAAAAAA